AGGUUCUGCCACUUACUAGCUGGGUAACUGUAGGCUGAAGGGGCGGACCUACGCCAAGCCGACCACGCCUCCUCCCCUUGAGUAACAGGACUCCAACCCUUCCCCAGCCAACCGGCCAAGGCCACGACCCUUCCCCAGCCAAUCGGCUGAGGCCACAGCCAUUACCUCACCAACUGCCCCUAGACCCCAAUAAAACCUUUGUGCUUUUGAAACUCGCUCUCUUUCCCUGGUACCUCACCGCUGCGUUGGUACAGUGACUGAAAGCAUCUCAUGGAUUUUGUUGUUAAAAGCAAUCACACUUUCUGCAAGACUUGCUUCCUUCUCCACAUCUCUUUAAUUCCAAUUUUCUACAUCAGGUCUGAUACCAUCUGGAAUAGAGGAUGAAUUGAACGCUGUGAACCUUUAAAUUAGCUUGAUAUUUCUAAAAACUAAGAGGAAAAGUUUUUACAUUCUUCAAGGUUGCAAGGUCAACCUCCUGAAAUCUCAACACUCUUUUGGAUUCUAUUUAAAUCUGUGUAGCCUGCAUUGCAAUUCUUUGAUCCCAACUACAUGCUUUAUCUCUGGAACUGAUUUCUUGUUUAUUGGCUGACAUCUUCAACUAUAACAGCAAUGUUAUUUCUGUGGCCAAACUGUUCUCCCAGAAUAUCUUCAGGGACCAAUCACUAUAAAAAGAACUAGAACUUUUUGUACAUUCACUGGAGUUGGCCAUCAUCACUUAAUUAUCAAGCGCUCCAAAUGUCUCCUGAACAGCUCGUAACAUUCAACAAAAUCAAUGCUACCUUUAAGUUUUUAUAACCAGUAUGUCUUCUUAUGCAAUUAAAAUUUUUGAAUGUGAAAGCUUCCUGUAACAUCUCAGUUGGACAAGGAAUUAAAAUGCGUGUCAACAGCAAAUAAGUGAUACGACACUUAUCGUGUUCACGUUAAGUUCACGUUAAGUUCACGUGGGUACUGUUAAGUACCCAAAAGAAUAUAAAUAUCCCAAUAAAAUUUGUCCCAGGGAGUGGUCUGCAGUAAUGCCUGAGAAAGUAAGUGGGGAGGAAAAGACGCAGAAGUGUUAAAUACUAGAAAUAAGUGGAUGAACGGAUGAGCAUCGAGAAAGAGAAAGCAAUCCUCCAGAAGUGAGAAAUUCCUCUAAUGGACGAGGGCAAAAUCAUUAACGACCACUUCAGCCUCUACUUAACUCAAAUUCAAAUAAAUAUUAAGUAAAGGUGAGAUUUUCUCACAACGUUUUCUUAAUGUGGUAAAUAAACUACAGUCCGGCUGCAUCAGCCAGCCACUUUAU
Leopardus geoffroyi (Geoffroy's cat) is the source of this 1282-nucleotide long non-coding RNA. RefSeq lists it as uncharacterized. The record is from RefSeq and is a predicted model, not a curated record. Lineage: Eukaryota; Metazoa; Chordata; Mammalia; Carnivora; Felidae. The transcript is spliced from 4 exons.